Homo sapiens (human) is the source of this 1004-nucleotide long non-coding RNA. RefSeq lists it as uncharacterized. The record is from RefSeq and is a predicted model, not a curated record. NCBI's taxonomy places the organism in Eukaryota, Metazoa, Chordata, Mammalia, Primates, Hominidae. The transcript has 3 exons.
UGCAAUAAGAUAUAGACGGUGAUUGGAGUCGUUUCUCUUUUUGCUUCCAGAGGGAGCUCAAACCUGAAGCAUCAAGGUUAUCUUUUUCCAAAGGAUUUGUGUGAACCUAAGUUCGGUACCUGCGACGAGUAAAAACACUUAUUUGACCCUCUAGAGACUCAGCUAGAACUGACUGAGCAAAGGGAAAUCGGGCAAAAGAAAGGGAAGGUACUGAGGAGAAAACGGCAGAUGUUGUUAUCUCCCGCUGAGAGGCGCGGCCGGCGGGGCCGGAUCCUCCGCUUCCCGCGACUGCCGGAGUCGCGCUGGACUAGGCUGACCGCGCAGGGCGGCGAGGCUGGAAGGGAGGUCUCCGCCCGACAAUGCGCAGGUGCCAGAGGAGCCAGGAGGAGUGAGAAGCGCCCUAGACCCGCGGCCUCAAGCGCCAUGCACGUCAAGGGGAAGUGACUCCGGAGUUGUGCCAGGAAGAACACCAAGAACGAGCUGUGCGUUUUUGCGCAGAGAAGUAGUCUUCGCAAGACCGCAGCUCCCUGCCGAAGGCCCAGAAAGGGAGUGCGGGGGAGAGGGCAAACUAGUGAGUUUGGCUGGCAGUGCUCCCCCGACACACCCCACUUUCUUUUCCUGCCACUCCAGACUCCUUCCCGGCAGCGGGCCUCCAGAACCCCUUGUUGGUAAAGGCGAGGUGCUGUGGGGAUGCAGGAUAUGGAAUUAGGGAAUUCGGGACGGAAACGUAGCGUUUAGGACAAAGGGGAUUCACUGGGGACUUCCGCGGCCUUUGCCCAGAUGCGCCUUUCCACCCUUUCUCACUCCAGUCACUCCCGAGGACUUGGGGCACGACUAUCACACGCAACUGGGAGAUCCUGGAAGACGGAGGAAAAACGAACAAGGGGACAUGGCCCUCACUGCAGUGACAGGGCUUUCCUUCAGUCAGUGGCCACAAUAAAUUUAACCAAGGCUAAAGGAGAUUAAUUUCCCAGCAUAAUCCAAUUAAAAGAUUUCUAAAGUAA